RNAcentral lists this long non-coding RNA (540 nucleotides) under Medicago truncatula (barrel medic). Its description in RNAcentral is "lncRNA gene28128". The record is from RNAcentral. Lineage: Eukaryota; Viridiplantae; Streptophyta; Magnoliopsida; Fabales; Fabaceae.
CCAAGAUUCAUAAAUUGAAAGCUUUCAAUAUCAAUUUGGUGUGAUCAUUUAUUCAAGAGAUAGCAAUGGAAUAUACAUGUUUUGAUGGUGUUCAUCUCUAGAUCUCACAUUGUAUUAUUGUUGUAUUAUACAAGAUGAAUUGGGUUGGUUGUUUUGAAGACAUAAUCAAAAUUCAUUGGAUUGGGUAAAAACCAGUAAUUUUUGUUACUCUCUCCAACUAAUCCAAUAAAAGAUAUUGAAUCGUGUAACAUGAAAAUCUCAUCAUUAAUUUCAACUUAAAAAAGGUUAAAUAUUUACCUAAAAAUAAGCAAAUUAGUCUAACUCAGGCUUAUCUCCCAACAUAAUUAAUCAUCCUUUUCAACUAUACUCAAGGCCACCACUCAAUUAGGGAGAGUGAAAACAUUGGUUAUCAAACAUGUCUAAUAUGAUUCUUGUGACCUAUCUUCAAUGAAAUAUCCAUUAUUAUUUGGUCAUUUGACAUUGUCAAACAACCUAAAAGAAAAAGUUGUGUGUUCUAGUUUAUGGAACUUUGGAGGAUAA